CAGUCGCCGCGGUAAUACGUAGGGUGCAAGCGUUAAUCGGAAUUACUGGGCGUAAAGCGUGCGCAGGCGGUUAUAUAAGUCAGAUGUGAAAUCCCCGGGCUCAACCUGGGAACUGCAUUUGAGACUGUAUGGCUAGAGUGUGUCAGAGGGGGGUAGAAUUCCACGUGUAGCAGUGAAAUGCGUAGAUAUGUAGAGGAAUACCGAUGGCGAAGGCAGCCCCCUGGGAUAACACUGACGCUCAUGCACGAAAGCGUGGGGAGCAAACAGGAUUAGAGACCCCCGUAGUCCCUGUCUCUUAUAA
This 301-nucleotide ribosomal RNA is filed under the name uncultured bacterium. RNAcentral describes it as "partial 16S ribosomal RNA". It matches the Rfam family "Bacterial small subunit ribosomal RNA", at positions 509 to 809 of the family's 1533-position model. The record is from RNAcentral.